AUGAAACCUGAAGAUGUGCACAAAACUGCAUUCAGAACAUACUCAGGGCAUUAUGAGUUUUUGGUGAUGCCUUUUGGAUUGACAAAUGCACCAGCAACAUUCCAAGCACUCAUGAACAAACUUUUUGGCCCUUAUCUGAGGAAAUUUGUUUUGGUUUUCUUUGAUGAUAUUCUGAUAUUCAGUAGAACUCCAAAAGAACAUAAGAAACACUUGAAGAUUGUUAUGGACAUCUUAAAAGAAAAUAAAUUGCUCCUCAACAAAUCCAAGUGUACUUUUCGUACUUCUACAGUGGAAUACCUUGGUCAUGUGAUAUCUGCUCAAGGGGUUGCAACUGAUCCUGAGAAAAUCACUGUUGUGCAACAAUGGGCCCUGCCUGCCAAUAUCACUGAAUUAAGAAGUUUUCUGGGCCUAGCUGGUUACUAUAGAAGGUUCAUCAAAGAUUAUGGGACUAUUUGCAGACCACUUCAUGAUUUGUUGAAGAAAGAUGCAUUCCUUUGGACUGAAAUGCAAACAGAAGCUUUCAAUAAACUGAAAUACAGCUUAACUCAUGCACCUGUCCUGGCAUUACCUGACUUUUCCACUCCUUUUGAGCUAGAGUGUGAUGCUUCUGGAGCAGGUACUGGCUUAUGCAGAAACACAUGCCCAUUGCUUACUAUAGCAAAUCCUUGGGACCUAGGGCAGCUGCACUAUCAACUUAUGAAAAAGAGGCAAUAG
Molecule: ribosomal RNA, 714 nt
Filed under: Triticum aestivum (bread wheat)
Lineage: Eukaryota; Viridiplantae; Streptophyta; Magnoliopsida; Poales; Poaceae
Description: partial small subunit ribosomal RNA
Source: RNAcentral